UGGGGAAUAUUGCACAAUGGGCGCAAGCCUGAUGCAGCCAUGCCGCGUGUAUGAAGAAGGCCUUCGUGUUGUAAAGUACUUUCAGCGGGGAGGAAGGGAGUAAAGUUAAUACCUUUGCUCAUUGACGUUACCCGCAGAAGAAGCACCGGCUAACUCCGUGCCAGCAGCCGCGGUAAUACGGAGGGUGCAAGCGUUAAGCGGAAUUACUGGGCGUAAAGCGCACGCAGGCGGUUUGUUAAGUCAGAUGUGAAAUCCCCGGGCUCAACCUGGGAACUUCCUCUGAUACUGGCAAGCUUGAGUCUCGUAGAGGGGGGUAGAAUUCCAGUUGUAGCGGUGAAAUGCGUAGAGAUCUGGAGGAAUACCGGUGACGAAGGCGGCCCCCUGGACGAAGACUGACGCUCAGGUGCGAAAGCGUGGGGAGCAAACCGG
This 429-nucleotide ribosomal RNA is filed under the name Chloroflexota bacterium. Its description in RNAcentral is "Chloroflexi bacterium partial 16S ribosomal RNA". It matches the Rfam family "Bacterial small subunit ribosomal RNA", at positions 355 to 776 of the family's 1533-position model. Lineage: Bacteria; Bacillati; Chloroflexota. The record is from RNAcentral.